Molecule: ribosomal RNA, 274 nt
Filed under: uncultured bacterium
Lineage: Bacteria
Description: partial 16S ribosomal RNA
Rfam family: Bacterial small subunit ribosomal RNA
Source: RNAcentral
AUACGGAGGGUGCAAGCGUUAUUCGGAAUCACUGGGCGUAAAGGGCGCGUAGGCGGGUUGGCAAGUCAGAUGUGAAAUCCUACAGCUUAACUGUAGAACUGCAUUUGAAACUGCUAACCUAGAGUAUGGGAGGGGGAGAUGGAAUUAGUGGUGUAGGGGUAAAAUCCGUAGAUAUCACUAGGAAUACCGAAAGCGAAGGCGAUCUCCUGGAACAUAACUGACGCUAAGGCGUGAAAGCGUGGGGAGCAAACAGGAUUAGAAACCCUAGUAGUCC